Molecule: long non-coding RNA, 731 nt
Organism: Lineus longissimus
Lineage: Eukaryota; Metazoa; Nemertea; Pilidiophora; Heteronemertea; Lineidae
Exons: 4
Source: RefSeq, a predicted model, not a curated record
UAUUAAACCUUGCCCGAACCAACAACCAUUUCAGUCGUUGGACUCCAAGCGUAGUGCAGUAGCAUUUUUUCAAAAGCUCAAGAUGAAGUGUCUCGUUGUUGCAGUCAUCAUUACAUUGGUUGUUCAAAGCCUAGCUUCUGAAAUGGAAAGCGACUUUCAAAUGCAGGCGCUCAAGAAAAGAGGGUGGAAAUCGCUCUGGUUUGCCUGUUCAAAGACUUCCGAAUGCCUCCCAGGCCAUGUUUGCGAACAUAAUGUUGAUAACUGCGUAAUUCCAAAAGACAACACGUGUUGCCUUUACGGAUAGGACGCCCUGGCACAACGAUACCAUAUGGAAAGUAUCGGAGUCACAUAAAGUUCGCAUUCUUCGAAAUGUUUGAUUAAAUUGGUUAUCAUUGUGUAUGUUAAUACCUUACAAUAAAUAGACGUCUGGAAAAUUCUUCUAUUUAUUUCUUCACUGCGGUACAAAGCAAAUUUUAUGUUAUUCCGUGUCGUUGUAGUGCAAAUUAUACAUGUAUAUUUCCGAGUAAACAGUUUUAAACAGAACUUCCCCAAAAUGUUUGAACGAAUUUAUCAACAUUCAUAGGGAGCAACCAUCACUACUAUUCAUAGCCUUUGGUAGCACACAAAUGUAGUAGUUCUUGAUACUGGUAUCCCUGGAGCUUAAAGUGCAUGUAAACGGCACAAUAUCAUGUUUCGACUCAUAUCAUUUUGUGGUCGAGUCUGCUUGGGAA